RNAcentral lists this unclassified non-coding RNA (248 nucleotides) under Hevea brasiliensis (rubber tree). The record is from RNAcentral. Lineage: Eukaryota; Viridiplantae; Streptophyta; Magnoliopsida; Malpighiales; Euphorbiaceae.
CCUUAGUUUCUUAAGAAAAGCAUUUUGGCUCUUACUGACUGAAGACGGAAAAGGCAGCAUUUUGGCAACAAGAACAAAAUUCUCUCCAUUUCCAACAUCAAUUUCAUACAGCUCAUUAAAAAACUCCCGGAAUUUAUGUAUUAGUGUAUCAUAGAAUGGCCUGCUUGGAGGAAUCACAUUGAUAAUAAGAAUUCCAAAAUCACAAAGAACAGAACUUGCAGCAAAAAGAAUAUGGCUCUGAAUAAGCU